This 275-nucleotide unclassified non-coding RNA is filed under the name plant metagenome. Its description in RNAcentral is "partial contains small subunit ribosomal RNA, internal transcribed spacer 1, and 5.8S ribosomal RNA". The stretch from base 1 to 54 matches the Rfam family "Eukaryotic small subunit ribosomal RNA", at positions 1778 to 1831 of the family's 1831-position model. The record is from RNAcentral.
GGAAGUAAAUGUCGUAACAAGGUUUCCGUAGGUGAACCUGCGGAAGGAUCAUUAACGAGUUAGGGUCUUCUAGGCCCGACCUCCCAACCCUAUGUUUAUUGAACCUCUGUUGCUUCGGCGGACCCGCCUCACGGCCGCCGGAGGACCGCUGCAAGGCGUCCUCUGGCCAGCGUCCGCCGAUGGCCAACCACUUAAACUCUGAAUGAAUCGUGUCAUAUGUCUAAGUCUAUGAUUAAAUUAAAGCAAAACUUUCAACAACGGAUCUCUUGGUUCUG